RNAcentral lists this ribosomal RNA (848 nucleotides) under Aleuria bicucullata. Its description in RNAcentral is "eukaryotic LSU rRNA". It matches the Rfam family "Eukaryotic large subunit ribosomal RNA", at positions 41 to 906 of the family's 3401-position model. Lineage: Eukaryota; Fungi; Ascomycota; Pezizomycetes; Pezizales; Pyronemataceae. The record is from RNAcentral.
UAUCAAUAAGCGGAGGAAAAGAAACCAACAGGGAUUGCCUCAGUAACUGCGAGUGAAGCGGCAAAAGCUCAAAUUUGAAAUCUGGCGCCUUCGGCGUCCGAGUUGUAAUUUGGAGGGAUAUCUUCGGAGAUGGCUCCGUCCUAAGUUCCUUGGAACAGGACGUCACAGAGGGUGAGAAUCCCGUGCCUGGGUGGAUGCCCAUCUCCAUGUGAAGUGUCUCCGACGAGUCGAGUUGUUUGGGAAUGCAGCUCAAAAUGGGUGGUAAAUUUCAUCUAAAGCUAAAUAUUGGCGAGAGACCGAUAGCGCACAAGUAGAGUGAUCGAAAGAUGAAAAGCACUUUGAAAAGAGAGUUAAAAAGUACGUGAAAUUGUUGAAAGGGAAGCGCUUGAGACCAGACUCAAUCUUUGGUGAUCAGCUGUGCUUCUGUGCAGUGCACUUGCCAUGGAUUGGGCCAGCAUCGGUUCUGACGGUGGGAUAAAAGGUUGAGGAAUGUGGCUUCCUUCGGGGAGUGUUAUAGCCUCGAUCACAAUGCCACCAGUUGGGACCGAGGACCGCGCUUCGGCUAGGAUGCUGGCGUAAUGGUCUUAAGCGACCCGUCUUGAAACACGGACCAAGGAGUCUAACAUCUAUGCGAGUGUUCGGGUGGAAAACCCUUGCGCGUAAUGAAAGUGAACGGAGGUGGGAACCUUUCGGGGUGCACCAUCGACCGAUCCUGAUGUCUUCGGAUGGAUUUGAGUAAGAGCAUAGCUGUUGGGACCCGAAAGAUGGUGAACUAUGCCUGAAUAGGGUGAAGCCAGAGGAAACUCUGGUGGAGGCUCGCAGCGGUUCUGACGUGCAAAUCGAUCGUC